UACGUAGGGGGCAAGCGUUGUCCGGAAUCAUUGGGCGUAAAGCGCGUGUAGGCGGCCCGGUAAGUCCGCUGUGAAAGUCGGGGGCUCAACCCUCGAAUGCCGGUGGAUACUGUCGGGCUAGAGUGCGGGAGAGGCGAGUGGAAUUCCUGGUGUAGCGGUGAAAUGCGCAGAUAUCAGGAGGAACACCAAUUGCGAAGGCAGCUCGCUGGAACGUUACUGACGCUGAGACGCGAAAGCGUGGGGAGCAAACAGG
This 253-nucleotide ribosomal RNA is filed under the name uncultured bacterium. Its description in RNAcentral is "partial 16S ribosomal RNA". It matches the Rfam family "Bacterial small subunit ribosomal RNA", at positions 524 to 776 of the family's 1533-position model. The record is from RNAcentral.